UUUGUUCCCUAAAUAGGGACUUGUAUGAAUGGCCACACGAGGGCUUUACUGUCUCUUACUUCUAAUCCGUGAAAUUGACCUUCCCGUGAAGAGGCGGGAAUACAACAAUAAGACGAGAAGACCCUAUGGAGCUUUAAUUAACCGGCCCAAAGAAACCUUAUUAACAACCGACAGGGAUAACAAACCUCUACAUGGACCGGCAAUUUAGGUUGGGGUGACCUCGGAGAACAAAAUAACCUCCGAGUGAUUUAAAUCUAGACUAACCAGUUAAAAGUAUUACAUCACUUAUUGAUCCAAAAACUUGAUCAACGGAACAAGUUACCCUAGGGAUAACAGCGCAAUCCUAUUUCAGAGUCCAUAUCGACAAUAGGG
RNAcentral lists this ribosomal RNA (372 nucleotides) under Otocolobus manul (Pallas's cat). RNAcentral's name for it is "partial 16S ribosomal RNA". It matches the Rfam family "Bacterial large subunit ribosomal RNA", at positions 1968 to 2516 of the family's 2925-position model. The record is from RNAcentral. Lineage: Eukaryota; Metazoa; Chordata; Mammalia; Carnivora; Felidae.